UUAACUACCAGGAAAUAGGAGAAAACAUAAAACAUCAUUCCAAAAUGACCUGCAAAGCCAGUUAGUUUACAGUAUAAGUAAAUUAUUUGUUAAUAAACUACAAGCAAGACUGACAUGAGGUAAUUUGAAGUAUCUCUUACAUUUGACCUCUUUAUACAUGACGAAUACUUUCCAGCUGUGUCUGUGAUCCAGCCAAACUCUAUACCAUCUGAUUACUCUUAACUCCAACUGAACUUUUACUGCCUCAGGUUAGGCACAUGUUUUGUUGCCUUGCCAGGCUUAAUGAUCACCACCCUUAUUUUUGUCAAAGGAUGAGAUUCUGACUGGAUGAUAAAGUUUUUAUAAGGAAGAGUUAUAAAAGCUAGAUAACUAUAAUCUGCAAAGAAGCUGCAUGUUAAAACUAUAUAUUAGUUAGUGAAGUUCCAGAUUCCACUGCUUCAGUCAAGCUUGAUUCUUGUUUGUGUUCCCGCAACAUCAGCCACACAUUCAUACUGGAGCUACCAACGUGAUUUCCUGAGGCCUUUAUAAUGCAGGAGAAUUCUAAGGGGCACCCUGAGCUACUUGCAGAGCUGAACAGGGCAAGGGUCCCAUCCACCCAUUUGCUGCACAGAUAUGGACAAGAGGAGGCUGAAGCCAUGUCUCUGAGAGCUUAGCAGGAAAACCACUUGCAUUGGAACCAAAUGAAACGGUUCACUUCUAACAAAGCAUCCAUUCAGUGAAGUAUACUAAUAGCUCAGCAUAAUUUAAUCCUCAUCUCCUAAGGAAUUCAGCACGUGGGUUGAGUGGGCCCCUCUCCCAAACUGGAACUCACACUGAAACUGACUGCCUGAAUCCCCAGCUGGUGCACCAGCCAGUCCUGUCAAUUGGUUCUUUAUGUGGGCUGUCGCUUUAAAUCAAAGCAGCAAGGAACAGCUUUGAUACAGCAUGAACAGUAUCAUCCUGUAAACAAGACUGGUGAACCUUAUGACAAUACCAGCCUGACGUGCUUUUGAAAUAAACACAUAAGCACUGUAGCAAAGAGCUAACUCAUCUUCAGAAGGAAAACAAAGAAAGCUCCUUGAUGCUAAUUCCAGUUUCACUGAUGGCUGAUAUUAAUUCAAUUUAUUUUUGUGUAAUUUUCAGGUAAUACAGACACCAAUAGCGGUCAAUGAACUGUGAUCCUAGUUAUGCUUUUAGGUAAACACAGUGGUAAUAGUUCCAAGUUCACAGUCUAUGAUAAACGGCAAAAGCUUAAUUGACUGAUCAAGGACUGGCCUACGCUGACUUUGCUGUUCUCAUGCUCGUUAAUUUCUGUGAUGAUGUGUCAGAAUAGGCCUCCAAUCUGUGCUUAAAAGAAUUAUGAAGGUCUUACCCCUUGGACCUGUGAUGCAUCCGUUGCAAGCCUCGUAGUCAGUGCCCCAGGGCUGUUCCUCCGGUCAUCAAACCAGCCGAUGUCUUGCCCUAGCAUAGCCUGGAAACCAAUUUUCCUUAACCGUCUCGUAAGCAGCUCACCAGACUUGGCAAAGUUGUAUCCCUG
This is a long non-coding RNA of Tympanuchus pallidicinctus (lesser prairie-chicken), 1516 nucleotides long. RefSeq lists it as uncharacterized. The record is from RefSeq and is a predicted model, not a curated record. Lineage: Eukaryota; Metazoa; Chordata; Aves; Galliformes; Phasianidae. The transcript has 3 exons.